GGACCCGCACAAGUAGUGGAGCAUGUGGUUUAAUUCGAAGAUACGCGCAGAACCUUACCAACACUUGACAUGUUCGUCGCGACUUUAAGAGAUUAAAGUUUUCGGUUCGGCCGGACGAAACACAGGUGCUGCAUGGCUGUCGUCAGCUCGUGUCGUGAGAUGUUGGGUUAAGUCCCGCAACGAGCGCAACCCUCACUUUUAGUUGCCAUCAUUAAGUUGGGCACUCUGAAAGAACUGCCAGUGAUAAGCUGGAGGAAGGUGGGGAUGACGUCAAGUCCUCAUGGCCCUUACGUGUUGGGCUACACACGUGCUACAAUGGUAUCUACAACAGGAAGCAAGAUCGCGAGGUUUAGCAAAUCCUUAAAAGAUACCUCAGUUCGGAUUGCACUCUGCAACUCGAGUGCAUGAAGCUGGAAUUACUAGUAA
This 426-nucleotide ribosomal RNA is filed under the name uncultured bacterium. RNAcentral's name for it is "bacterial SSU rRNA". It matches the Rfam family "Bacterial small subunit ribosomal RNA", at positions 917 to 1341 of the family's 1533-position model. The record is from RNAcentral.